GUCAUAUGCUUGUCUCAAAGAUUAAGCCAUGCAUGUCUCAGUACAAGCCAAAUUAAGGUGAAACCGCGAAAGGCUCAUUAAAUCAGUUAUGGUUCCUUAGAUCGUACCCACAAUUACUUGGAUAACUGUGGUAAUUCUAGAGCUAAUACAUGCAAACAGAGCUCCGACCGGAGACGGGAGGAGUGCUUUUAUUAGAUCAAAACCAAUCGGUGGCGGGUUCGCUCGUCAUCGUACAACUUGGUGACUCUGAAUAACUUUACGCUGAUCGCACGGUCAUCGCACCGGCGACGCAUCUUUCAAAUGUCUGCCUUAUCAACUGUCGAUGGUAGGUUCUGCGCCUACCAUGGUUGUAACGGGUAACGGGGAAUCAGGGUUCGAUUCCGGAGAGGGAGCCUGAGAAACGGCUACCACAUCCAAGGAAGGCAGCAGGCGCGCAAAUUACCCACUCCCGGCACGGGGAGGUAGUGACGAAAAAUAACGAUACGGGACUCAUCCGAGGCCCCGUAAUCGGAAUGAGUACACUCUAAACCCUUUAACGAGGAUCAAUUGGAGGGCAAGUCUGGUGCCAGCAGCCGCGGUAAUUCCAGCUCCAAUAGCGUAUAUUAAAGUUGUUGCGGUUAAAAAGCUCGUAGUCGAAUUUGUGUCUCGCGCCGCCGGUUCAUCGUCCGCGGUGUUAACUGGCGAGUCGCGAGACGUCCUGCCGGUGGGCUUAGCUCGCGAGGGCGGCCCAACUCAAUCCUGCCGCGGUGCUCUUCAUUGAGUGUCGAGGUGGGCCGGCACGUUUACUUUGAACAAAUUAGAGUGCUUAAAGCAGGCUAAAACUUCGCCUGAAUAUUGUGUGCAUGGAAUAAUGGAAUAGGACCUCGGUUCUAUUUUGUUGGUUUUCGGAACCCCGAGGUAAUGAUUAAUAGGAACGGAUGGGGGCAUUCGUAUUGCGACGUUAGAGGUGAAAUUCUUGGAUCGUCGC
This 967-nucleotide ribosomal RNA is filed under the name Trigonopterus sp. 761 AR-2022a. RNAcentral describes it as "SSU rRNA". It matches the Rfam family "Eukaryotic small subunit ribosomal RNA", at positions 23 to 931 of the family's 1831-position model. The record is from RNAcentral. Lineage: Eukaryota; Metazoa; Arthropoda; Insecta; Coleoptera; Curculionidae.